RNAcentral lists this long non-coding RNA (1240 nucleotides) under Sus scrofa (pig). RNAcentral's name for it is "lncRNA (ENSSSCG00045025887.1)". The record is from RNAcentral. Lineage: Eukaryota; Metazoa; Chordata; Mammalia; Artiodactyla; Suidae.
CUGAGAUUUGGUGAGGAUUUUUAUUUUGGUCGUCCUGAGCCUACUGUAACUGGGGCGGCUGAGUUGCUAUGGUGAUUUGUUCUCCAAACAGAGGGCUUUGCCGCAGUACCUUGAAACAGCAGAUCAAUCUACUUUAUGUUGACUUGAUCAUGAUAUUAAUUCUAGUUGAAACCUCCCCCAGGCUCCCAUCAGGACUUGUACGCAGGAAUUUUAAAUCCGGGUCCAAGAGGCAUCGUCUUUUUAAAGCCAGGCCCUCACAAUUCCUGCCCCCGAGACUGCAGGCUCACAGUCAAAAGCUCCGGGGUCAGGGGUGGGGGGGACUGCAGUUGGAGGAAGGUUCAUCAUUGAAGCAAUUAUGUGCUUAAUCGCUGCAGCGUGGGCACCGGCUGCAAGUUGUGACUCAUUCCCCACUCUGUCACUAAUAAUUGGGGGCGGUGGACAGGAUGCACAGAAAACUCAGCUGCUUUUUCCCGAGUUCCUCUUGCAAAUCUGGAAGUCGCUGAGAUCCGUCCUUGAAGCAGGGGAGAAAGGCCGACCUCAGCUCCACGACGUGGCCCUGCCUGUCUCCACCGGUAGGGGGCCCCAUUGAGUCACCGGACUCUAUAAGGAUGACUGCACUUUGAAUGGGGGUGUAGCUGCCUCUGGGUCUUGCCCAACGGUGACGCGGGAGAGGGAAAAAAAAAAAAAAAAAAAGGAGCUGCCUGAUUUCCAGCGUGACUCAUUAUAAACAAACGGAGGACAGAUUGACUGCCUCUUAUCAGAGCCUGAGUAUGAGCCCCAGGACUGAGGAUAACAUGCCCCGUUGUGAGCAGGAAAAGUCACUUUUCCUUCCUCUUGCUAUAGAGUCUCUUGCUAAUUCCAGCUUCUGGCUGAUAACCUUAUGGGGUCUUCAAAAUCAUUAUUUGGAAAACAAUGCCCGUUUACUCAACAACCACUCCUGAAGCUCCUACUGUGUGCCAGACAAAAGUCAGAUCUGACAAUCCUAGGUCCCCAUUCCCCCCUGGCAUCGUGGACUGGAGCCGAGUAUCUGCAGGAGUUCUUCAGUUUUCCAUACUCCCCACCCAUCCCCAGCCCUGAAACCAAGACUCCAGAGCCCAGGAUCAUUGCACACACAGAGUCGUAUUCCUUACGCUCAAGAAAUCCUUCCUGUACCCAGGAAAUUGAAAACCAGACCAAGGAAGUGGUAUGUUUUUUGAAAAGAAAGCAUAAAUCAAUCUCUGUAAGCAAAGACAAUCCUUAG